Dioscorea cayenensis subsp. rotundata (Guinea yam) is the source of this 1172-nucleotide long non-coding RNA. RefSeq lists it as uncharacterized. NCBI's taxonomy places the organism in Eukaryota, Viridiplantae, Streptophyta, Magnoliopsida, Dioscoreales, Dioscoreaceae. The transcript has 8 exons. The record is from RefSeq and is a predicted model, not a curated record.
AUCAAGCCUUAAUCUUAUUAAUAACAGUGAAGGAUUUCAGGGAAUGGCAAGCUCUUCUUCAGGAAACAGUGGUGGUUCUUUCAUGACUAAUAAAAUGGUGCCACUGAGAUCAAAGAAACAAAAGAUUUCACAUCCAGUUGAGGAAGCACCAACCAUUCAAACACUCAGAAUGAAUGCACCUGUGAAGAAGAGCCAGAAACUUGGGGAUAAAAUCACAGCUACUUCAACAACUAGUUUCACCAUUUGGGAAGACUGACACUGCUUCAGUACUUCAUGAGGCAACAAUUUGCAUCAAGGCACUUCAUGAACAAAUUCAGGUUUUGACAUCUCCUUAUUUCCAAAAUAAAUCAAAGACAAACCUCACAGGGCUUGCAUGGUAGAGGAUUGUCCCUUGUUCCUAUAUCACCAAACAUCAUCAACUUUGCAAACCAACAGAGUGACCCAGAAAGGUUUGCAUGGACCCUUGGGAGGGGCACCCCAAAGAAUUAAUAAGUGUAAUAAAGUUAUGUUCAUGAAUUCUCUAUUACUUAUAUAUGUUUAAUAAUUAAUUAUAUAUCCAUCUUUUGAUAACUCUGGGUACACAGAUCAAAUAUAUUAAUGGGGAAUCUAAUUGUUGACUUUGCUUCUUUGAUUUUGUUUGUUUGUAUCCGGAAUAGAUUUCAAUUCAAGUCAUAGAGGUCUUGAUUAAUGAACAUAAAUCAUAGCAGUUGAAGUGAAUCGGCCGGCUAUUUCUAGGUCAUUGAGUUGAUAAUGACAUUUCUUUGAUUAACUCUCGUGACGUGUUUAUUAGGUGGCCAGCUGCUUGCAUGAACUUAAGCGUAGAUCUAGGGUUUUUGUUGUUAUGUUUGCUUAAUUUUGCAUGAAUUCUUUCUUAUGAGACACUAAAACUUAAGAACAUUAUUUGAUUAUUGAGUUCUAGAUUGUCAAUAAGAACAUCUAACUAGAUGUGGUAGUCUAGUUCAUAGUUCACUGCCUUCUCUAUCAAUGUUUGAGAAAUUCUUGAGUGAGGGAUACUUCAACAAUAUAAAUGUCACUAUAGAGUGGUUGCUUGGUUUUGUUUUUAAUUAGUUUAACAACUUGGUUUUUUUAAUAGAAAGAAAAGAAGUCACAUCUUCAUCUUCAUUAUCAUGAAUAAUUAAAAGAAACAAAUAGCAAUUAGUCAAACUUCACAA